GAUGAACGCUGGCGGCGUGCCUAAUACAUGCAAGUCGAGCGAACAGACGAGGAGCUUGCUCCUCUGACGUUAGCGGCGGACGGGUGAGUAACACGUGGAUAACCUACCUAUAAGACUGGGAUAACUUCGGGAAACCGGAGCUAAUACCGGAUAAUAUAUUGAACCGCAUGGUUCAAUAGUGAAAGACGGUUUUGCUGUCACUUAUAGAUGGAUCCGCGCCGCAUUAGCUAGUUGGUAAGGUAACGGCUUACCAAGGCAACGAUGCGUAGCCGACCUGAGAGGGUGAUCGGCCACACGGGACCUGAGACACGGUCCAGACUCCAAGGGGAGGCAGAGGUAGGAAAUCUUCCGCAAUGGGCGAAAGCCUGACGGAGCAACGCCGGGUGAGUGAUGAAGGUCUCCGGAUCGUAAACCUCUGUUAUUAGGGAAGAACAAAUGUGUAAGUAACUAUGCACGUCUGGACGGUACCUAAUCAGAAAGCCACGGCUAACUACGG
Molecule: ribosomal RNA, 496 nt
Filed under: uncultured bacterium
Lineage: Bacteria
Description: partial 16S ribosomal RNA
Rfam family: Bacterial small subunit ribosomal RNA
Source: RNAcentral